CAGCCGCCGCGGGAAUACGAAGGGGGCUAGCGUUGCUCGGAAUGACUGGGCGUAGAGGGCGCGUAGGCGGUUUUGACAGUCAGAUGUGAAAUUCCUGGGCUUAACCUGGGGGCUGCAUUUGAGACGUCAAGACUAGAGUGUGAGAGAGGGUUGUGGAAUUCCCAGUGUAGAGGUGAAAUUCGUAGAGAUCGGGAGGAACAUCAGUGGCGAAGGCGGCCAUCUGGGACAACACUGACGCUGAGGCACGAAAGCGUGGGGAGCAAACAGGAUUAGAUACCCCCGUAGUCCCUGUCUCUUAUAC
RNAcentral lists this ribosomal RNA (301 nucleotides) under uncultured bacterium. Its description in RNAcentral is "partial 16S ribosomal RNA". It matches the Rfam family "Bacterial small subunit ribosomal RNA", at positions 509 to 807 of the family's 1533-position model. The record is from RNAcentral.